CCAAACUUGGUCAUUUAGAGGAAGUAAAAGUCGUAACAAGGUCUCCGUUGGUGAACCAGCGGAGGGAUCAUUACAGGAUUCGCAAGUCUCCCGUAAACCCCUGUGAACAUACCUAUACUCGUUGCCUCGGCGGGUGCUCCGGUGCGAACCGGGGCGCCAGCCCGCCGGCGGCUCGCUACUCUGUAUUGAAUACUGCAUCUCCGAGCAAUUGCAAACGAAUCAAAACUUUCAACAACGGAUCUCUUGGUUCUGGCAUCGAUGAAGAACGCAGC
RNAcentral lists this unclassified non-coding RNA (272 nucleotides) under uncultured fungus. RNAcentral describes it as "partial contains small subunit ribosomal RNA, internal transcribed spacer 1, and 5.8S ribosomal RNA". The stretch from base 1 to 73 matches the Rfam family "Eukaryotic small subunit ribosomal RNA", at positions 1759 to 1831 of the family's 1831-position model. Lineage: Eukaryota; Fungi. The record is from RNAcentral.